Molecule: non-coding RNA, 255 nt
Organism: Lachnoclostridium sp. YL32
Lineage: Bacteria; Bacillati; Bacillota; Clostridia; Lachnospirales; Lachnospiraceae
Source: Rfam
GCAAAUACGCAGAUAGGGAAGAGUAGACAACCGGAUGGAUGCAGAGAGCCGGCGGCUGGUGAGAGCCGGUGACGGAUGGUUGUUGAACUGGCCCUGGAGUAGCCUGCCCCAACGAGGAAGGACCACCGGAAACGGGGACCGGGAGCCAGUAGGACAGGACGGAGACCUUACCGUUAUAAGAGGAUUAAGCGCAUGCGUCAGACAGCAUGAACCAGAGUGGUACCGCGCGGGGAUUUUCAGCCUUGCGUCUCUAGC